Molecule: long non-coding RNA, 832 nt
Filed under: Ricinus communis (castor bean)
Lineage: Eukaryota; Viridiplantae; Streptophyta; Magnoliopsida; Malpighiales; Euphorbiaceae
Description: long non-coding RNA (RCOM_LNC002390)
Source: RNAcentral
UUUAAUUCAAUUAAUCAGCUUAAAUUACAUAACAAAAGAUUAACCCAUUCUGAAAUUAAUUUCCAGUAAUUCUAAAAUCAGACUAUUAAUUAAUUAAAUAGUCUAAUUAAUUAAUUAUAACUAAUAAAUAAAUACACCAAAUAUUUUGUAAUCAUUUUAAAAUAAUUUUUAAAGUCUAAAUAAAAUUAUUUUGAGCCGAACUUCUGCACGUCCGGAAACACCGAGUCUGAAAGCCGGUACCAUCAACAGUAUCAAAUUUCGAAUCCGAAAGUGCAAAAGCUUGAGCUGCGGGAAGUACAGAUAUACAAACUUUUCACCUGAAGCUCGCUGGAAGUCACCGGAUCGAGGCCGAAAGGUUUCGGCUCCGAUGAGACUCACCCACUACUGUUGGCGGAGGAGAAUCGACGGGGGAGGGCUGCCUUGAGGUUUUCGGGGUCCAGGAGUCCGUUUCCAGCGUCAAAUCGGUGAAAGGAAACCAGCAAGAGGCUGCUUCGGCAGCGGCAGCAGGGGAGGAAACUGCCUCCUCGCGAGCAGCUCCUCCUCGACGGCUGGAGGCUGUGCGGAUAACGGCGACGAGUUGGCGACGACGAGGGAGCCCACGACAGGCGAGGAAUGAAAGGCGACAAGGGGAAAAGCGACUGAAAAAAGGUGCAGGGGAAGAGGGAGGUGGCGUCGCCAGAUAGGAGAGAAGGAGAGGAAGAAGAUGUUGCCGACAAAGAGGAAGGGAGAAGAAGCGGCGGCGGUAGCGAAAAUGGGAGGGAGUGACGGAGAAGGAGGAAGAGGGUGACGGGGAGAGAGGAGAAGAAGGGGAGGGAAAAAAAUUUUGUUAUGC